Molecule: long non-coding RNA, 123 nt
Organism: Haliotis rubra (blacklip abalone)
Lineage: Eukaryota; Metazoa; Mollusca; Gastropoda; Lepetellida; Haliotidae
Exons: 4
Source: RefSeq, a predicted model, not a curated record
UGACUUAAAACAAAACUCGUAGUUGUUGAUAACGUGAUUAUAUACCCCCUGAAUGACUUUAAUUAACCAAUCACAAUCCAGUAUUUACAGUAGUCAUGGUAGAAAUAGGAGGUAAACAUACUG